UACGUAGGGGGCUAGCGUUGUCCGGAAUCAUUGGGCGUAAAGCGCGUGUAGGCGGUCCGGUAAGUCCGCUGUGAAAGCCAGGGGCUCAACCCUUGGAUGCCGGUGGAUACUGUCGGGCUUGAGUACGGAAGAGGCGAGUGGAAUUCCUGGUGUAGCGGUGAAAUGCGCAGAUAUCAGGAGGAACGCCAAUUGCGAAGGCAGCUCGCUGGGACGUUACUGACGCUGAGACGCGAAAGCGUGGGGAGCAAACAGG
RNAcentral lists this ribosomal RNA (253 nucleotides) under uncultured bacterium. Its description in RNAcentral is "partial 16S ribosomal RNA". It matches the Rfam family "Bacterial small subunit ribosomal RNA", at positions 524 to 776 of the family's 1533-position model. The record is from RNAcentral.